UUUAGGGCCCGUGGUGAUUUGGUCCGACCGGCUUGCGGCCACGUAAAAAAAGCAGCUAAAAGGUGGGGGCUUGCCUCGA
This is a non-coding RNA of 79 nucleotides. It matches the Rfam family "Alpha-proteobacteria SAM riboswitch aptamer". Rfam says of the family: This family is a riboswitch found predominantly in alpha-proteobacteria that binds S-adenosyl methionine (SAM). This SAM riboswitch is located upstream of the metA and metC genes in Agrobacterium tumefaciens, and other methionine and SAM biosynthesis genes in other alpha-proteobacteria.